GACGAACGCUGGCGGCGUGCUUAACACAUGCAAGUCGAACGGAGAGGCCCUGCUUUUGUGGGGUGCUCGAGUGGCGAACGGGUGAGUAACACGUGAGUAACCUGCCCUUGACUUUGGGAUAACUUCAGGAAACUGGGGCUAAUACCGGAUAGGAGCUCCUGCUGCAUGGUGGGGGUUGGAAAGUUUCGGCGGUUGGGGAUGGACUCGCGGCUUAUCAGCUUGUUGGUGGGGUAGUGGCUUACCAAGGCUUUGACGGGUAGCCGGCCUGAGAGGGUGACCGGCCACAUUGGGACUGAGAUACGGCCCAGACUCCUACGGGAGGCAGCAGUGGGGAAUAUUGCACAAUGGGCGGAAGCCUGAUGCAGCAACGCCGCGUGCGGGAUGACGGCCUUCGGGUUGUAAACCGCUUUCGCCUGUGACGAAGCGUGAGUGACGGUAAUGGGUAAAGAAGCACCGGCCAACUACGUG
Molecule: ribosomal RNA, 468 nt
Filed under: uncultured bacterium
Lineage: Bacteria
Description: partial 16S ribosomal RNA
Rfam family: Bacterial small subunit ribosomal RNA
Source: RNAcentral